CCCCCCAAAUCCCAAUCCACCCGUGCCCUACACCAUUGCGCCGCCGCCCCCAACAAUCUAACCUUCCACCGGCGGCCGCCCUCUAGCCAUCGCCAUCGCCAUCCCCAAAUCACUCAAUCUACUGGUUCCCGACACCAGAUCGCCGCUGCCCCCAACCGUUUGAUCCCUCCGCCGUCACCCCCACUCCCCCAGCACCGCAGCCCCUCCGCCGCCCCAAUCGGCCCCAGUGCCGCCGUCGCCCCCCACCACCGCAGCCCGUCCGCCGCCCCAACCAAUGCACUGCUGCGUCCUCCACCCAGACCACUGACGCCGUCGUCGCCCACCAUCGCAGCUCCUCUGCCGCCCCUAGCAUCCACUGUCGCUUCCUCCACCCAGACCACUGCCGCCGUCGCCCCCCAACCACUCCAGAGCGGCGCCGCCGAGCACCAAUUGACACGGAGCAUCCCAUCGCCGAGCCAAUCCACCGACGACCUUCCUCCUCCGCUGUACACCGUCGUUCCUCAGUUACCACCCUCCUCGCGAGCUUCCUCCCCCAAGCUAGCCCUCCGCACAUGCUCACCCGAGCCCCAAGGAGCUCCUCCGGCAAGCUGCACCUUCUCCACAGUUUAUGCCUUCACUAGAUUGUGACUUCUUGAAGCAAACACAGGAAGUUUCUGUUGCUAAUUUUUGCUUGUAUUGAUCUGUUGGGAGCCUUUAUGUACUUUAUACAGAUGCAGUUUAUCUUGCUACAAUUUUUUCUUGUAUUCAUCUGUUGGGAGUCUUUAUGUACUUUAUACUGAUUCACAUGUAAUAAGCAGCUUGUAGUAUUAGUGAAGGAACAACACCAGGAGACAACCCACUGACCAAGGAGCGCCCUUAUAUCAUCAGUAUCCACCGAAACAAUAGUGACCAUCGUAGUAGAUUAUAUAUGGCCGUGUCAACUGCAGUCUGGUCGUAGAUUUGAAGUUUGGUCAUCGUUCAUAUUGAUGUGAGUACACCAUGACCACCCCCUAGAGUGAACCAAAAUGAUGAGUCAUAACUGCUUCUUGUGCAAGCUUACUUUGUUCAUUUUCAAUGUAAUAUAUGGUAUUUAGAUUUUUUUCCCUAUUAAUAGAAGUAAACUUUCUUUUGUAUGUUACGCAAUGUAUUGCAUGGCCUUACAAGCAUGUAAGCUUAGGUCCUAUGAUUAAAUAUACAAUGACUAUCAUGGUUGAUUGCUUAAAACUCUUGCUUCUAUGUAUGCAGUUGGAAGUGAGUUAAUGGCAAAUGCGGCAAUGCGUUGCGACCACAAGCAAGCUGAGGAGGUAAUAUACAUGUUUCUUGGCUGAAUAUUUACAUUAGUGUGUACUAUCAAGGGCAGAUAGUAAUGGUUCGCUCAUUUGGUUGCUACAUGGUUAACUUGUGUCCAGAAAACUUGAGCUCCUGAUUCCAGUAUAUAGUAUUAAUUAGUAAUUCAAACAGAUCAUUAUAGUUCUUUAGAAGUGUGCUUUUGUGUCCAUCAGCCAUGAAUUUGGAGAGAGGUCAGUUGAAUAAAUAUGGUUACAAAUAUAAACUUUAAUUGGAUCAUCUUUCUUUCAUGUACACGAUAGACUCUACCAUGUAGAGAAAUGACUUUCAUUGGAUUCCAUGCUCACAACUUUCAUUUGAUUCAUUUCUCAUAACUGGAUCCUCUUUCUUUCAUGUACAUGAAGUAUUUUAGCUUGCUUGUUUGUUUGUUUGUUUGUUUGUCAAAAGCCUUGGUUUAUUUUUCUUGGCUAAUUCAACUUGUUGUCCAAGAUGUAGGAAAGUGAACCAAAUGUUCAUAGUGUUUCACUGGAUUUGUAAAUCUGUGGGCUUGUCCACUACUCAGAUACUCCCUCCGUCCCAAAAUAAGUCUCAUAACUUUUGUACAACUUUGUACUAAAGUUACAAAGUUGAUACACUUAUUUUGGGACGGAGCGAGUACCAUUUUAGGGGACCUUCAUUUGUAACUUGUCCAACAAAAGCAUGGAACCAGGAAACUAAACAACUCCCAUUAAAAGAUCCUGAAAUAUAUGUCCAGCUAGUUCCCCUCUUAUUCUGUGUAGCCAGCAAAUCAUUUAUGUAACUGAACUUUAAUAGCUCCUGCAAAGAGGGAGCAAAAAUUAAAAGGCUUGUUUAUGCAAUGGGACCAACAUUGAGUCAUCUUUACAAUAAGAGGCAAUGCUUCAGUGAAAAUCACAGUACUCCCAAUACACCCCUUCACCAGAUUCCGCAACAGGAGAAAUGUAGUUCAACUUCGUGUUCUGGAUGCAGGAAGUCUGUAAGCACAGUUGUCAUCAUUGCUCUAAGGAAAUACCACGCAAAACCACAAAAUGGUAUCGUCAUUUAUAGAUUUCCAGAUUCAUUAUCCUAUUAUGUUGUGCCAACUUCAUAUAGGAACUCAAAAUAAAUCAGCUUAUAUCCAAGGUCAGGCUCAAUAUCAAGGCCCACUAGAGACUGGACUAGCACACUGAAUCCACAGGUUCCGAUACUAAUGUGUAAUUGUAUUACUUUGAAGAAGCCAAGGUAUACGACAUACGAAAUUUUAAGAAGCACAACUAAACACCUGUUGCGUUCUGGUAGAGAAAAAGUACCAGGUGAAAAUAAGAUGCUAUAAUUUUGCAUAUGUGCUUGUUCAGUACACUAGCUUCAAAAUUUGCUUGUGUAAUGUUAAGUGUGUGAUCGUGGCCUUGUGCUUGUGUAAUAUUCGUACAGACUUUGCACACUAUAUUUGGAUGAGAAGUUAGAUAAGCUUGCUACUGUCAAGAUGAUAAAAAAUGGACAUGUUGAUGUCCAGGAUAUGUUGUCUACUAAAGUAGAGAUUACUCUAGAGAUCUCUACUAUUAAAGGAGAAUCGAACGUCGUGAUGGUUCGACCUCCUUCGCUCGCCCCCACCUCGUUCGAUCCCGUACGUGAAAACUUCUCCCCACACGCGAAAAAAACGGACCCCCUCGGCUCCUCCCCACCCGUCGCACGAAAAAAAUGACAACAAAAUAAAACAACGCACGUACGCACGUCCCACCCCCACUUCCCUUCCCCCAAAUCCCUUGCUCUCGAGAGAGGAAUUGCCGCCGCUGACCUCCUCAGUCCUCACGGCGACCUCGAGCGGUUGCACACUGCAACCAAAUUAGACUGGAGCAGUGGAUCCAAGCCCUUUCCAUCUCAUCCAUUCUUCACCGAGUCCAGGAGGAGCUCGAUGUAGGGAGGGAGACGAGCAGGAGCGCCGCGUCCAUGGCAACGAUGAACAGGGCAUAGGGGCCGACGAGUGGCAACGCGCGGCGGGAGACCGGCUGGUGGGAACGGAUGGCGGGAGGCGGUGGGACCGUGGGAGGAGCAGGUAGUCGGAGGAGAUCGCCGGUGGAAAUCUGGCAAGCGGCGGCGGCAAACAGGGCUUAUGGUUUGAUGUUUGUUUUUUACUAGGUUGUACUGGUCUUUAGAUUGUCAAAACACCGUUUCACCCCUCUUUUAGUCUGGCUUUAAUUCAUUGGUGUGGGUCCUUUGUGUCCUUUGCAGAAUCGUAAUGGCAAUUUGUGCUUUUCUUCGGCACGCUGCUCCACCACCUGUGGAUGUGGGUCGUCCAGGCCUCGCCUCACCUACAAUAUGCUACAUUGGUGUGGGUCCUUGUGAGCCUGCUGCCCCCACCCCCCAUCCCUCUAUAAUCCGAGAUGUCACCCCACCAUUCCUGUUCCGCCAAUGACAACAUCUCCCCUGACCGCUUGUCGUGCCUUGCCUCCAAAUCGGAUCACUGCAGUCUGAAGUAUUUUGAUGUAGCCAUAUCUCAACCACAUGAUGGCACACUAUAUAAGACCUCUAACCCGACGUGGAAGGACGAACUUCGACCAUGGAGCAGAGCACAGCGACGUGUCAAGGAUUGAUGGUCAAUGAUAAAGAGCAGGGGCCCUCAGAUGCUAGCCCUCCUCCUGCUGCUAUCCUCCCCAUCCCCUACGAGAUGUAUAUGGUGCUGACUUUGAGAGGCUGAAUAAUUAGGUUGAUAUUGAGGGAUUAAUAAAGGAUCAGCGGGCCAAGAUGUUUUGAGAUCAAACGGUGAAGUAAUAUUGUGUACUUGUGCUAAGUACUUUUGGUUUUGCCCGCUGAAGGAUUCAUAUGGUUACAAGUUGUACCUCUGACAGUGCUAAAUCAUAUAUAUUUCUUUCAGGUACAUUACUCAUGCAUUUUUCCUCUAAUGGUCUGACACAAUUUUAUCCUCGUUCAAAUUAACUAGGUGCUAGGGACAGUCCUCCAGAGCAAAAGCAUUCAUUUUCAAGGACAUCAUAAGAUGCUAAAAAGUCCAAUUCAAGUAAUUUCUUCAUAAAACAGCCAGGAUAUAUAUUUGAAGGGUAAGUGUUUUUGGAUUGCUUGAGGUAGGGCUACAAGUAACAACUAGAGAAGAAGGGGGCCAAAAAUCCAAAAAGGCAUUAGGCUUGCAGCCACUCCGCCGACAUGACAGUCUUAGUACGCGGCACCGCGUAAACACCCAUUGUGGCGGCGACCACUGACACUGACAACAACGUGGCUUUUCAGCGAGCGGCGGCCCUGACGGUGGCAGCACCCAUCACAUAAGGCAACGCUCCGCACCAGAUCUCUGUUGUGCACACCCAUCCGACCACACCCGACGGUGUUCCCUGAGCCAUGGUGUGUGCCUUCUCCUCCCCUAGAUCAUCUCACCAAUUACUUGCACACCAUCGCCGCAUGAUCCACUAGAGGAAUGUAUAGCAUAGAUUAUCUAUAAAAGAUACUGCUUACUUCUGAUGCUCCAUCAUCGUGUCAGGCUUCAUUUGAUCCUAAAGGACUCCUUUGGUUUCCCAAAGGUGCACAAGUUCACUAAGGUUUGGAAGAUCUUCAAGUUGCUGAAGAUUUGGAAGACCUAAAAUUAAGUUGGUGGAGUGAUAAUGACCUGUGUCUUGUUUGUUGAACGUAAAGACUUGCUCUGCUCAUUUUGGUGGUUGUUGAAUUAGCUUAUUUAGGUUGUGUGGCACACAUCUAGAAACAUAUGUACAUCCCUAGUGGCACUACUUUAUUUUGGGUGUGUGGCAAAUGUAUAUAUGUAAUCCUUUUGUGGUACUACCUCUUUAUAUAUGGUCGUUAAGUUUAAGGUUUUCGAUGAGGCCUA
Molecule: long non-coding RNA, 5089 nt
Organism: Triticum dicoccoides
Lineage: Eukaryota; Viridiplantae; Streptophyta; Magnoliopsida; Poales; Poaceae
Exons: 6
Source: RefSeq, a predicted model, not a curated record